UGGUAUUUGUCUUUCUCUGACUUAUUUCACUUAGCAUGAUACUCUAGCUCCGUCUGUGUCAUUAGAGACGCAGGAUUUAAUUCCUUUUUAUGACUGAAUAAUGUUCCUGUGUGUGUGUCCCACAUCUUCACUUAUCAGCCGACGGAUGCUUGGGCUGCUUCCAUAGUUUGGCUAUUGUAAAUAAUGCUGCAGUAAACAUCGGGGUGCGUGUAUCCCUUUGAUUUAGUAUAUUUAUAUUUUGGGGGUAAAUAUCCAGUAGGCUGAUUAUUGGACAAUAGGGUAGUUCUGUUUUUUAAUGUUCCUUCUUUAUAAUCCUUGGCAACCGCUGACCUAUUCUAUGUUAGUAUCAUUUUUUUUUAAAGUGUUAGACAAAUGGAAUUAAAAACUACAUAAUGUUAUGAAAUGAGCUUUUUCAGUUGGCAUAAUGUACUGGAGAUACACCCAAGUGGAGAGGAGAAAUACUAUAUCCCUUUUGCUUGCUGAAUAGGAUUCCCAGUACAACAGUUUAUCCCUUUAGCCAUUGAAGGAAACUGGAGUUCUCUGUAGUUGGGGCUAUUACAAAUACAGUUGUUAUGUUCAUUUGUGUAUGGUGUCUUGUGUGAACAUUUUAUUUCUCUAGGGUAAAUUUUCAGAAAGGGCUUGUUCUGUCAUACAGUAAAUAUAUGUUUAAUUUUUUUCUUUAAUGACCAUUAUAUUUUUGAGAGAGAGACAGAGCACAGAAUCCGAAGCAGACUCCAGGCUCUGAGCUGUCAGCACAGAGCUCUACGUGGGACUCAAACUCACGAGCCAUGAGAUCAUGGCCUCAGCUGAAGUCAGAUGAUUAACCGAUUGAGCCACCCAGUGUGUCCGGGGAUAACCAGUUCCGACUGCUUCAUUGUGUGAAGGUGAGAGAGCGCCAGCGACCACUGGUAUCAGUAUCCACGGGGUUAUGUACGCACAUCUGAAACCUCCUUAGAGGUAAACAAAGGAGCGCCCUGAGUCUUACCUAAGUGAUAUGGAGGAUGGAUCUUUGAAGCAAGCGGUUUCCUGGAACACAAAGAACGUGCGAACUGCCUCAAUUUGACUGUUUUCCCGGAUCAGAGG
Long non-coding RNA from Panthera uncia (snow leopard), 1083 nucleotides. RefSeq lists it as uncharacterized. The transcript has 3 exons. Lineage: Eukaryota; Metazoa; Chordata; Mammalia; Carnivora; Felidae. The record is from RefSeq and is a predicted model, not a curated record.